This 279-nucleotide ribosomal RNA is filed under the name uncultured bacterium. RNAcentral describes it as "partial 16S ribosomal RNA". It matches the Rfam family "Bacterial small subunit ribosomal RNA", at positions 506 to 784 of the family's 1533-position model. The record is from RNAcentral.
UGCCAGCCGCCGCGGUAAUACAGAGGGUGCGAGCGUUAAUCGGAGUUAUUGGGCGUAAAGGGUGCGUAGGCGGAUGCAUAAGUUAGAUGUGAAAGCCCUGGGCUUAACCUGGGAACUGCAUUUAAGACUGUGCAUCUAGAGUAGAGUAGAGGUAAGUGGAAUUUCCGGUGUAGCGGUGAAAUGCGUAGAUAUCGGAAGGAACAUCAGUGGCGAAGGCGACUUUCUGGACCAAAAUUGACGCUGAGGCACGAAAGCGUGGGUAGCAAACAGGAUUAGAUA